This 941-nucleotide long non-coding RNA is filed under the name Ananas comosus (pineapple). Its description in RNAcentral is "long non-coding RNA (ACOM_LNC023832)". Lineage: Eukaryota; Viridiplantae; Streptophyta; Magnoliopsida; Poales; Bromeliaceae. The record is from RNAcentral.
AAUCAGGUGAAGAAGGUCCCAAUUCCAGUGCUGGGUGAUGGUGAAUGUGACUCAACUCCACAAAGCCCCUGCUUCCCAAGUUCACCCCAAGAAAACAUCAAAAAUUGGCAAAUUCUGUCCAAAGCAACAACAGCAGAGGAAAACCUGAGUUCGACUGAGCUAACCUUCACCAAAUUCUGCAAAUUAGGGCUUCGUGGAUUCCUCUGGAAGUCAAGAAUCCAGCAAACCAAGUUUCGUCGAAAUCCGACCUCCCUACGUCGCGCACGAGCCAAAACACUGGAGGUCGUCGCUGAAGAACUGCAGAAUCAGCACUCCAUCAAGCUGGAUCAUGGAAGUUUGAUGCAAUUUGAAGCAAAUCCGAGGUUUGAGAUGCAAAAAGGGGUUUCUCUGUGAAGGAGGGAAGAAAAGAGCUCACCAGGGACGCUUCUCAGCUAUUUAUAGGGUGAAAAUAGGAUCAGAUGAGCCUCAAGAGCAGAGCUUGCAAUCUGCUGUCCCUGCAGAAACGGGCGUUUCUGGGCGCCCGGAAACAUGUUCUGGGCGACCAGAACAUCCUGACUACACAAACCGGGCCCUUUGGACUCUCCGCCCGCGGUGCGCUGCGCCCGUAAACGACUCCGGCGGAACUCACCUACCGCCCUGCCACGCGUCGAAGCAAGCGAUAUUCACGAGGUGAAAUUUCUGGACCCACUUCUGGGCGCCCGGAACAUGGGAUCCGAAUUGGCUUCCAGUUUCAAUUAAAAUCAACACUCGUUUCUGGGCGACCCUAACAAUGUUCUGGGCGCCCGAAUCUGGCAAAACUUCAGUUUUGCUUAUUUGAGUGCGCCGAGUCCAAUUCUGCAUCCAAUUCGUGCAGAAUUGACUCCGACUCAGUCCGACACUCUCCAGAGAUGUCGACCAGUCUAUAAUACUGAAGCCAAUCCUAUCCAAAGCUCAGGAACACU